RNAcentral lists this long non-coding RNA (1504 nucleotides) under Nicotiana tabacum (common tobacco). Its description in RNAcentral is "long non-coding RNA (NTAB_LNC014293)". Lineage: Eukaryota; Viridiplantae; Streptophyta; Magnoliopsida; Solanales; Solanaceae. The record is from RNAcentral.
CUUUUGAUUGAUGGGUUAAUUAAUAGCAUGGGGUACUUCAUCUAGUGGAUAUAGAGCAUUUGGUAAUGUUACAAGAAUUCAGAGUUGAAACUGCAUGUUAUGUUCGUGGAAAAGCAGAAGCGCAAUUUGCAUGUCCUUACAAUUCCCUCGUCUAUAUUUAUUUAAGAUUACUAUCAGAUAGUAGCUUUGCUAAUUUGUUGGUUGCAUAAGCACUCACAAGUUGCAAAAGAUGUGUAUUUUUCUUGUGUUCCUCCUUCGUUUUUUUUUUUCCUUCUAUUUAGGGGAUUUCGGGUUUUUUUUUCCUGUGGUAUGAUGUGUUUUUUCUCAAUGUUCAACUAGGUUGUGAAAGAAAAUGAAGAACCGGCUGAGUUCCUAGCAUUGUUGAGUUCCCGGUAAUGCUAACAUGAUUGAGGACGCAUCAAGAAUUCCAGUAGAUCACUACCUCUUUCUUAUGUUUUCAGCUUCCACAAUUUUCCUGCAACAUUUUCUAGCUUUUGAGUAUAGUCCACCUGACUAUAAUGUGGAGGUAUGUAUCCAAAAUAUUUCUACCAAUAUAGUACAAACGACAUUUAGCUUGGCUUGAGAUUUUUGGGAACUACUUUCUUACAAAACAAAAGGAAUUCUUCAUUGUUAUCUAAAAGAAAGCUCUUUAGAUUUGGAUUAUGAUGUUAUCUUUUGAUCAUUCAGCCAUUCACUGAGGAGUAUGCUUUUGUUUAUUAUACUUGAGGAGUUCAAUGUCAUGUUUUAACAGAAAAGCAUAGUCAGUUACAGAACCGAAAAGAGAAGUAGAAGCUUAGGCCAUAGGCGGCAUAGUUGUUACCUUAAUGUGUUUGAAAUAAUAAUUACCCACUCUAAUCCAUUUCAUAUGACAUUCUUUUAUUUUUAGUCUGUUCCAAAAGAACGAUACCUUUCUACAUUUGGAAACUCUUUAACUUUUGUCUUUUCAUUUUUCCGUUAAUGACAAGCUCUUGCAUCCAUAUAAAUGUGAUGGUUUAGAAAUGUCAUGGUCAGAGGCGGACCCAGGAUUUUAAUGUGAUAAGGCACAAUAUUCUGCUCAACCGGUGCCCCCUUAAGGCUUUUAUUGUUUAGGGUGCCAAGUAAUUUAAAUUAAGUAAUCAUUUUCUAGAUAUAUACAUAUACAAAUACAAGAUUUCUACCGAAGUUCACGGGGUCCAGUGACCCCUCAACAUAACACAUAGGUCCGCCUCUGUUCAUGGUAUGUUUAAGACGAAAGUUCUAAAUGUACUUCUGUCGUUAUAUUAAUGUGGUUGAAAAAAAUCAUAAGUUGUGUUUGUUGCUCAAAUUUUUGCUGUUUUCUUCUGCAGGAGGCUGAUUUAGAAGUUGUCAGAGGUGGUUUACCUGAGAAUGUACAUGUACAGUGCUGAACACCCGAUGACCUUAGAGGCAAUUUGCUGACUUAACUUUCAUUGUACAUUUGCCGUGACUUAGAAAUUAGAAAUUUCAAAAGCCAGUUUAGGCAAAGCAUAGUGUUCUUAUUUUAUAU